UACGGGGGGAGCAAGCGUUGUUCGGAUUUACUGGGCGUAAAGAGCUCGUAGGCGGCUUGUCGCGUCGUCCGUGAAAACUUGGGGCUCAACCCCAAGCUUGCGGUCGAUACGGGCAGGCUCGAGUUCGGUAGGGGAGACUGGAAUUCCUGGUGUAGCGGUGAAAUGCGCAGAUAUCAGGAGGAACACCGGUGGCGAAGGCGGGUCUCUGGGCCGAUACUGACGCUGAGGAGCGAAAGCGUGGGGAGCGAACAGG
Molecule: ribosomal RNA, 253 nt
Filed under: uncultured bacterium
Lineage: Bacteria
Description: partial 16S ribosomal RNA
Rfam family: Bacterial small subunit ribosomal RNA
Source: RNAcentral